GAAAAACAACAUAAAGAAUUCACCUUCGAUAUCUACCAUUCAUACUAAAUUACGCUAACAUAGAGGAUCUAAUCAAUGCACCUACAGGUAAGGGAUCUAUCAAAUACAUACCAAAAUUUACAAGCAAAAUGGAAAGUGAGCCAGAUUU
Hibiscus syriacus is the source of this 148-nucleotide long non-coding RNA. RefSeq lists it as uncharacterized. The transcript has 3 exons. Lineage: Eukaryota; Viridiplantae; Streptophyta; Magnoliopsida; Malvales; Malvaceae. The record is from RefSeq and is a predicted model, not a curated record.